AAUUCUCAAAAACCUUUUUCUGCUUUUGCUGGGAAAGGAUUUUUGGACUUGGAGGUUCAAUGCUUGCUUUUCACUUUGGUGGAAAGCAAGCUCCUCUCAAAUGAAUUAGUGGGGUCUGCUUUGCUGGUCCUUGACGUGAUAAGAUGUUUCUACGUUUUGGAUUUAGCACUGUUUCUUUGGACACCUGCUCCUAACCGUCUGUCUCACAGACAACGAUGGUGCUCCGGUCUUUGCCGCCUUACACUGGCGGAGGAGGGGCUGGGCCCACGAAAGAAAA
RNAcentral lists this unclassified non-coding RNA (277 nucleotides) under uncultured Russulaceae. RNAcentral describes it as "sequence contains ITS2". The record is from RNAcentral. Lineage: Eukaryota; Fungi; Basidiomycota; Agaricomycetes; Russulales; Russulaceae.